ACGGAGUAGGUACCACUGGCACAGAAAAUUGAUAUAACCCAUCAUGAAUGCAGCCCUUCAGCAACGUCUCUCGGGUCACGGCAUCCUUAAGAACACAAUGCAUAGGAUGAAACUAAAAAAACACUCCAUUAUCAUGCGCAAAUUGUAAAAGCGAUAAAAGAUUCUUUUUAUACUCGGCACACACAGAACAUUAGACAAACGUAAUGACUUAGAUUGAGUAGGAAGAACAUCAUUACCAAUUGAUGAAAUCACUACAGGAGUACCAUCACCCAUUAAAAGAGAUGACAUACCUGAAUAUGGCGUGACAUCAUGUAGAGCGGACACAUCACGACAGACAUGAUGACUCGCACCAGAAUCAAGAUACUAGGAAGUAGUGCCAACAUGCAUAGGAACAUAUGACCCAUCAUUACCAGAAUUUAUAGGAACCAGGAGAGUCAAAAUAAUGAGAAGCAUGCAAAUCACUUAACUGAUGAAGCCCAAUAUACACCUGAGUGCGCGGUUUAGUAGACCGCAGACUCGGACCAACACUAAUCGGACCAGUAGGUCG
This 547-nucleotide long non-coding RNA is filed under the name Gossypium barbadense (sea-island cotton). RNAcentral describes it as "long non-coding RNA (GBAR_LNC022174)". Lineage: Eukaryota; Viridiplantae; Streptophyta; Magnoliopsida; Malvales; Malvaceae. The record is from RNAcentral.